This 320-nucleotide ribosomal RNA is filed under the name Rhipicephalus praetextatus. RNAcentral's name for it is "partial small subunit ribosomal RNA". Lineage: Eukaryota; Metazoa; Arthropoda; Arachnida; Ixodida; Ixodidae. The record is from RNAcentral.
UUUGUUAGUAAAUAAAAAUUAUGAAGCAAAAAAUUAUGGCGGUAUUUUAAGCUUUUCAGAGGAAUUUGCUCUUUAAUGGAUAAAACACCUAAAUCUUACUUGAAUUUGUUAAGUCAAUUUGUAUACCACUAUAAAAACAAUUAAUAACUCUAAUUGUUUAAAUUUAUUAAAUUAAAGUAUAUUAAGUCAAGGUGCAGUAAAAAUUUAAGAAUGAAGUGAAUUACAUUUCUUUUUAGAAAUAAAAAAUUAAAUUUACAAAUAGGAUUUGAAAGUAAAAUUAAAAUAGAAUGUUAAUUUGAAUAAAGCUCUAAAAUAUGUAC